GUCUUUAGGAAAGGAAAAGGAGAGUCCUUUGCUGUUUGCGAGAGACAUGUAGGACGGACGGUCAAAGCUUCUUUGGCCCCGAAUCAUUCAUUUCCUCUGUCCAAGCAAAAGUGAAGUGGAGUGAAGAGACCCGAAUGUCAAAAGCGACACUCCUCCUCCUAUGAUCGGAUCUCCCAGACAGAGACAGAGACAGAGACACAGACAGACAGCAGCUUCCAUUCCCAUUUUUGACAGGAACAAGCCGAAAGAUGCUUCCUUUGAAGCUCGUCCGCUCUCUCGUCCUCGGAGAAGCCAUCGGUCUGUCCCGUUCCCGGAACCCCCGUGGAAGCUCCCUCUCCGGAGGCGGCGACGACGACGAGGAAGGGGAAAGCGACGAUGAGGCCGAAGAGAGACCCACUUCAAGAUCAAGAUCGAGGAGGAGGAGGACAAGAACAAGAACCGUCGCCAAAUCAAGAACCCCGCUCCUCCUCUUCCUCCCCACCAGAGAGCUCAUCACCGACACGUACACGCUGGCUCACAUUGCCCGAGACAUGGGCAUGGACUUGUACCCCACCCCGUCACUCUCCCACCUCAUCUUCACCUUCCAGUCACCGUCGCCAUCCCCAUCUCCGUCGCCGUCUUCCUCUUCCACCUCCCCGUUGUCCUCGUUCCCAUCCUCGUGGUCGUCCACAUCCCUCACUCCCUCCACAUUCUUGUUCCCUAACGACGCCGUCUCUCUGCCCUUCCCUUCUCUCUCCUCCGCCUCUCUCCCCACCCUCCGCUCCUUCGUCUCCCUCGCCAAGGGCCUCUUCAAGCUGGUGUUCGUGAGAUUGGCCCGCGCCGACGGCGAACCGGUGCACGACGGCACGGUGAACUGGGAUUGUUGCUCGGUUUCGCUGUUCUCACGGGUCGGCGGCGAGAGGAUCGACACGAUGGAUGGGUUUUCUAGGGCUUUGGCCGGCCAUGGGUGGACCCUUUUCAAGACCCGGAAGAACCCGGAUCCGGAUGGGACCAAUGGUAAUUGUAAUAGCAACAGUUCCGUGUAUUUGUUUAGGAAGGUGGAUUUGAACCGGGUCCGGAUGCAGCGGGCGGGUCGGGCACCGGGUGAUAGGAACAUUGGUGGGGAUUGUAGAGUCAGAGAGUUGAGAUUGCCACCUCUAGAUUUUAGGAAUGCUCCGCUCAGGAUCCUGCAGUAUGUUCUUCUCAUGACCGAUGAUAUCUUCUAUCUCGCGUAGGAAAGGCAAGUUUUCUUCUUUACGACUUCCCCUGUUCUAUGAUGUUCAAACGUUGUUUUUUAUUUACUUUGUCGUAGAGGCAAUGUUGAUUAGUGAGGGUUCAUCUCAGUGAGAACGUUUUCUUCUGCCCCUCAUUAUGAUUUUGUGAGGUCAGUGCAAAAAUGUAAGAUACAACAUUGGUUGUAAGCCCUGUGUCGAGUUAUCUGCUAUAGGUAACUUGUGUGAUGGCUCUUCAGGAAGCUAAAAUAUUGCCCCUUAUUCGAGGAUUGGCAGCUGCAUUUUCCUUGAUGAGCUUCUAGCAGUUGAUCAAACUGGUUCACUGUGAGUAAAGGAUUAGCGAAGGAUUAUUGUCCCACCUAUUGGGUGGUUUAUUUGUUUGAUCUGGUUACCUCGUACGAUAGCCAACCGUUGUAUCUGAAGAUCUUUCCUUUUCCUUGUUUUGUUUGGUAGCAAAUAUUCUGUACUUGUUUCCCAGUCAAGAUCUUAGGUAAAAUUACGAAAUGCAGUUAGCCAUAUAGUAUUGAUUGGUGGAGAUGAGAUGAAAGUUAGAGGGAUCCCCCAUUUUAACAUCAAGUUGUAGUUAUUAGUUGUGAAGCCAGUGUUCCAUGAAAAUCGUUCAAACCAUGUAGAAGAAGCGGGGUGUCUUUCUGACCACAAUUGUUCAAUUGUACUGAUAAAUAUGUCCACAUUUCAUAUACAUUAAAGCUAUGGUUGUGGCAUCAGAUGGUGAAAAAUGGCAAGAGAAUAAUAGUAGGUAGAGUACCAUCAUGAUGAUGGAUGCAGGACUUCUUGGUGAAACUUCACAAUGCAUUUGGCUCUCUGGGAUAAUCAGGCAGUCAUUUUUCUUCCACGACAUAAUGCUGGCACUCGUUUAAGUUUAGCAUCACGGCCUUGUGGUAAUCUAACUUGCACAAAAGGUCCAUGUCCAUCUUUCAAAUUCCUGUGUUUGGCAAACAAAUUCUCCAGCAGAGGUUGGCCGCAUGUAACUUAUGAGAAGUGAACGGCAUGCCUGCCCUAUGGUGCGACUUAUUUUGCCUGCCAUCUUUUACAUAAUUGAGGUGCUGUCUGUCGUAACAUGAAGAUGCCUUCCUUCAGCGUCGCCUCUCCUCUCCUCCCUUCCUCAUGCAGAAUCUUGUCAGUGUCUAUGCCCUGCAAUAUCUGCGAGAAUGCGUUGGAGUUUCGUGCUGGCAGUUUUACUCGGUGAUUGCUACAACAGCACAAGACUCACUUUUGACGAGGCAAGAACUGAGCCUCUCUUUUGGUUGCUGACCUCAAUGGCGAGGCAAUCUGCAAUUUUGGUAGUACUUACCAAGGAGAGAGGAUAGAUCCAUUCCAGAGAUUACCCAAACCUAAUGCUACUUUCAGGCAAUGCUGGACUUUGCUGACAUAUGCCACCGGUUGUAGAUACCAACUUUUCAAAGCUCUUCUUUUGUGCAAUGCCACUACGCUGAUAGCUUGUUCUUGUCCUGAAGUGAGAAAAACUGUGCACGUUCUCUCUCUCUCUCUCUCUGGGGUGCAAUUUUCUGUUUGGCCUUUAAUGCAAUGUUAAUUUUAUUAUUCACGUUUACCA
Molecule: RNA transcript, 2784 nt
Organism: Rhodamnia argentea
Lineage: Eukaryota; Viridiplantae; Streptophyta; Magnoliopsida; Myrtales; Myrtaceae
Exons: 2
Source: RefSeq, a predicted model, not a curated record